This 424-nucleotide ribosomal RNA is filed under the name uncultured prokaryote. Its description in RNAcentral is "bacterial SSU rRNA". It matches the Rfam family "Bacterial small subunit ribosomal RNA", at positions 355 to 796 of the family's 1533-position model. The record is from RNAcentral.
UGGGGGAUAUUGGACAAUGGGGGCAACCCUGAUCCAGCCAUGCCGCGUGGGUGAAGAAGGCCUUAGGGUUGUAAAACCCUUUCAGCGGGGAAGAUGAUGACGGUACCCGCAGAAGAAGCCCCGGCUAACUCCGUGCCAGCAGCCGCGGUAAUACGGAGGGGGCUAGCGUCGUUCGGAAUUACUGGGCGUAAAGGGCGUGUAGGCGGUUUGUCUAGUCAGGCGUGAAAGCCCCGGGCUCAACCUGGGAACUGCGUUUGAUACUGGCAGGCUAGAGGUUGGAAGAGGAGAGUGGAAUUCCCAGUGUAGAGGUGAAAUUCGUAGAUAUUGGGUGGAACACCAGUGGCGAAAGCGGCUCUCUGGUUCGAUACUGACGCUGAGGCGCGAAAGCGUGGGGAGCAAACAGGAUUAGAUACCCGUGUAGUCC